UUUAUCCUUGAGAAGUGAGU
RNAcentral lists this unclassified non-coding RNA (20 nucleotides) under Mus musculus (house mouse). Its description in RNAcentral is "oocyte_clustered_small_RNA1215". The record is from RNAcentral. Lineage: Eukaryota; Metazoa; Chordata; Mammalia; Rodentia; Muridae.